This 132-nucleotide small nucleolar RNA is filed under the name Sus scrofa (pig). Lineage: Eukaryota; Metazoa; Chordata; Mammalia; Artiodactyla; Suidae. The record is from RNAcentral.
GUUCCUCUUAGAACACUUGCUGGGUCUGAUCUGUGGCCUGGGGAGCUGUCAGAGAAGGGCAGAGCAAUUGGCCACCACUGAGUGAGAUGGCAGCAGGAUAUGCUGUCUGUCUCAAUCAGUGUGGGACAGAGA